CGUCCCUCUCUCCAGCCUACUUACCCCGCUGCCCCCCGGAGUCCCUCAUUCCAACCUUUCUGCCUAUUUUGAUUUUAUUUCCUCCCCCUGCCUCUCCUUGGUUUCUAAGGGACUCCCCUCCAACCUGUCUGUAGGUAUGUUUGUGUAACCAGACACUGAAGGUAGCUGUCUGCCGAGGAAUUAACUCGGCAACCCCCAAAGCUUCGUUUGCAUUCAAUAGAGGUGUUUGUUUUUCAGGUUUAUAUCUCCAGACGGGGUUGAAGAAGUCGCCCAAAAGGAAUCACUUCGCAAAUUUUGUUUCCUCCCUUGAAAUCCCACUGGACGUGGAGCAGAUCUUCCCUUGAAGACGGCGAAGGACGGUUUGUGGAAGGUAAGUGAGCCUCUUCCCCAGCACUUAUACCCUGCCCACGUGUGCUGUGAGUACCUGGGUGUUUGCUCAGGCCCGCAAAGCCAGCACACCUGCGCUGACAAGUGAUAAACAGGAGACUGUCGAGUUGUUGCUGGACACGGUGUGCAUAUUGGGAAGCACAGGAUUUUUUUAGCAAAGAAAUUAGCUGCUUUUACACACUGAGAUGAUUCUUAAGCUAAUGAAUUCCUCCCCUCCAAAAACGGGAUAGCCUUUCUUUUCUUAAUCAGGAAGAAAACAGCAUAUGAAGACUGCUGUGAAAGAGUUUCUGUUCUUACUCUUUUCCACAGUGAA
This 700-nucleotide long non-coding RNA is filed under the name Taeniopygia guttata (zebra finch). RNAcentral's name for it is "lncRNA (ENSTGUG00000027330.1)". The record is from RNAcentral. Lineage: Eukaryota; Metazoa; Chordata; Aves; Passeriformes; Estrildidae.